AUUUUCGUAAUUUUGACAUGAGAUGGGUACAAUCGUAAUUUUUAUGAUAUAUCGUGCUUAUAGGCUAUAUUAUUAUAUAGUAUGUUUUAUUCUGUCUAUCUGUAGGUAUUUUUUGACAAGCCCGGGCGGUAUAGUCACAACCGGGUAUUUUGGGUCGAACCGGAUUCGGGGCCUAAAAUAUAUUUUUCGGGAUUUAUUUAUAGCAUUAUAUUGAUAAAUUAGAAAUCUGAAUUUAUUGUAUUAUAUAUGAAUGUUUAGAAUGAUAACUUUGCCCUUGACUAUAUAUGGUGGUUAUAAUUGGCCCUGGCAGUAUUUUGGUCAUUUAACCACCUAAGUUAAUUUUCAACAGAAGCAAUUUUUGAAAAAGAGAAAAAUCAUUUUCUGGUUUCUCUAGUUCUAGUCGACCCACUCUCUCUCCCUUAAUCCCUUCAUUUUGAUUUCCAUGAUUUUGAAAGAAAAGCCUUUGAUUGGAGUGGAAUUUUGGGUGAUUUCUAGCUUGAAGCUUGUGGAGAUUGUGGAAUGUGUGACUAGGAAUACCAAUGCUUGCUCAGGAAGACCAGGAGGUUUUGAAUCUCCACAUACUUGGGAUACCAAGAAAGGGUAAAUCAAUUUGUGAUUAGCCAUGAGUUCGAGGGCUUGGCGGUGUAUUGUACAUGUUCGAGCCAUACUAGACCACGCAGGUUGGGUCUACCAAUGGAUGUAUUUUGUAUUCUUGGAUUUUGCCGUUUAGGUCGGCAUAUAAAAGUAACUUGUAAUGUUUUGCAAAGGCUUCUACGGGAUCCCAAAACGUUUGUAAUAUUUUGGAAUGGUUUGUAAAAUUUAAAUAGUUACAAGUUAUAUUUUUAUUCCGUAAAUAAUUUAAAGUUUAAAUUCUGCA
This is a long non-coding RNA of Cannabis sativa, 877 nucleotides long. RefSeq lists it as uncharacterized. The record is from RefSeq and is a predicted model, not a curated record. Lineage: Eukaryota; Viridiplantae; Streptophyta; Magnoliopsida; Rosales; Cannabaceae. The transcript is spliced from 3 exons.